UUAGCAGGCUUAUCUUAUCGACUUAUUUAUAAGUAGGAAAGUCCGAACACUAGAGAGUAAUCAUAGCGGAUAACAACCGUCCAACGUAAGUUGAGGACCAGUGCAACAGAAAGAAUGUACAGUUAGGCUGUAGUGAAACCAGGUAAACUCUAUGAGGUGCAAUGUCAUGUAUAUUAGAGCUUGAGAGCUACUCGCUCGAUUCUAAAGGGUAGACAGAUAGAUUCUAAGAGUAAUUUUAGAACUAGAUAAAUGAUAAGAACCUUUUUAAGGAAACAGAAUUCGGCUUAUUAGCCUGCUUUUUUA
RNAcentral lists this RNase P RNA (303 nucleotides) under Polaribacter haliotis. Its description in RNAcentral is "RNase P RNA component class A". It matches the Rfam family "Bacterial RNase P class A". Rfam says of the family: Ribonuclease P (RNase P) is a ubiquitous endoribonuclease, found in archaea, bacteria and eukarya as well as chloroplasts and mitochondria. Its best characterised activity is the generation of mature 5'-ends of tRNAs by cleaving the 5'-leader elements of precursor-tRNAs. Cellular RNase Ps are ribonucleoproteins. Lineage: Bacteria; Pseudomonadati; Bacteroidota; Flavobacteriia; Flavobacteriales; Flavobacteriaceae. The record is from RNAcentral.